Molecule: ribosomal RNA, 465 nt
Filed under: uncultured bacterium
Lineage: Bacteria
Description: partial 16S ribosomal RNA
Rfam family: Bacterial small subunit ribosomal RNA
Source: RNAcentral
CCUACGGGAGGCAGCAGUGGGGAAUAUUGCGCAAUGGGCGAAAGCCUGACGCAGCGACACCGCGUGAGGGAUGAAGGUCUUCGGAUCGUAAACCUCUGUCAGCAGGGAAGAACGGUCACUGUGCUAAUCAGCAGUGAAUUGACGGUACCUGCAAAGGACGCACCGGCUAACUCCGUGCCAGCAGCCGCGGUAAUACGGAGGGUGCGAGCGUUAAUCGGAAUUACUGGGCGUAAAGCGCUCGUAGGCGGUAUGUCAAGUCAAGGGUGAAAUCCCCGCGCUCAACGUGGGAACUGCCUUUGAAACUGGCAAACUGGAGUGUGUGAGAGGAUAGUGGAAUUCCAGGUGUAGGAGUGAAAGCCGUAGAUAUCUGGAGGAACAUCAGUGGCGAAGGCGACUAUCUGGCACAUAACUGACGCUGAGGAGCGAAAGCGUGGGUAGCAAACAGGAUUAGAUACCCGAGUAGUC